This is an RNA transcript of Durio zibethinus, 2145 nucleotides long. It is a transcript of the gene named E3 ubiquitin-protein ligase BRE1-like 1, with no coding region annotated. The record is from RefSeq and is a predicted model, not a curated record. NCBI's taxonomy places the organism in Eukaryota, Viridiplantae, Streptophyta, Magnoliopsida, Malvales, Malvaceae.
AAAUGAAAAAUUAGUGGCAUUUUUUUAAUGGCGUUUUACUUACAAAUGCCACUAACUUCCGUAUUUUAUAAAGGUCACGGCAUUUUAGAUCAAAAUGCCACAAAAUUUUCGAAUAGCGACGUUUGGAUUGACAAACACCACUAAAGAUAGGAAUUAGUGGCAUUUAUUCACCAAAACACCGCAACAUAAAAUAAAAAAUUUAUUAAAUAUAAAUAUGAUUAUAUGAACAACGAAAUGCACCGUUCUUUAAAUUUUUUUAGUGACUUUCUUUUAUGAUAAAUGCCAUUACAUUGGAAAGAUUUAGUGGCAUUUUAAUUAGUAAAUGCUGAUAUAUUGGAUCCCAGACUGAAAAAAGUGCAGUGUUUAGGAAAGAUUUAAUGGUGUUUGAACUAAAAAUGCUGCAGUUAGUUGGAAAUUAUUGGUGUUUUUAAAAUAAAAGCUUCUAAUUUUUCCCUAAAUUGAAACCCAAAUUUCCUUUUCUUCCAGAAAUUAUUGGUGUUUUUAAAAUAAAUGCCUCUAAUUUUUCCCUAAAUUGAAACCCAAAUUUCCUUUUCUUCUCUGCGCAUGAUUUCCUUUUCUUUUCAUUCCAUUUCCAAUUGGUUGUCUUUGUUUUCGAUCUGAUUCCUUUUCCUUUCCUAAUUUGUUUUGAAUCCUACCCUAAAUUGAACCCUUGAGAGCUUUGUGGUUCAUUUUCCAUUGCCGUUUGUAAGCCCCCGUGGUUCCCGUUUGGCAUUCAUCUCCAUUUUCCUUCCAUCUAAAACAUUGCUUUAAGUAAAUUAUGCCCAAAUGUAAUAAAGGAGUUGAGUAUAAAAAAUGACAGCUGAUGUAGUUCAGAGAUCAUUGGAUGUUGCUGAUUCUAGAACUUCUCAUCUGGGGGCAGAGAUAGAGUGUCAAAUUGAUGAAAGAAAGAAAAUUGAAGCUAAGCUGGAAGAGGCGUCUAGAGAACCAGAUAGGAAGAUAGUCAAAUAAGUACAAAGAGGUUGCAAUGGAUAUUCAUUCUAUCCAGGCUGAUGUGCAAUCUCUUUCCAGUAUUCUGGAUAGGAAGGUCCAGGAUUUGAAGGGCAGUGAUUAAGGGUUGAAGUUGAUAUUGGAGAUCUAUAGACAUGAAAUUUACUGAUUCAAGAGAUGUUUUGGAAGCGACAGAUUCAGAAUACAUGACAAGGCAUGGGCUCAUGUUCAAAGUUUUAAAUCUUGUCUUGAUAAGCUAAAUUUGGAAUUAUGUGUUAAGACAGUUAAUGAAGCUGAAGUGAUAUCCUAGGAAAGGUUGGUGCUGCAGAGGCUGAAGUUGUUGAAUUGCAACAGAAACUAGAAGCUUAUAAGGGGUUAAACUUGGUUUUUUCUUUUGAGUUUUUCUUUUAUGUUUGGAGAGUGGACAUUGUCUAGACCUUUCCAGCAAACCUGCAAUUGUCAUUUCUGCAUUAGGCAAACGUUUAUUUAAUGUGCCUAGACAAUUCCAUCAUACGGUAUUCUGUUGAAAUUCACAUUAGCUAAGCUGUAAAUGUACUAGAAAUAGUAUAUUAGGUAUUAGUGUAAUUGCUUCCUUCAUUUAUCUUCUCAGCUUGCAUUUAUUUAUCAAACCAUGGGCUUAUGAGAAACAUGUGAAAAAAAUCACAUACGAAAAUAUGAAAUUCAGACUCAUGUGACAAAGUAUUAUUGCAGGCUUUCUGAUACUUUGAAAUCCAAAAAUAUAAAAAAUGAGGCUUUUUAGGCUGGCUUGAUCUGCAAGCAGUAAGGAAAAAAUGUAGGAAUUUAGUUUCAAAAGUUAAUGUGUUUGUCCAAAGAUCAUAGAAGAGUAUAGGUUGAAAAGGCUUGAUGGGGGUUUGAAAGAUGAUAGUAACAAAUAAGGGAUCAUCUUUCAUUGGUGUUGAAGAUGAUCCAAUAGAUAUAUCACCUAUCAUUGAUUCUAUUGGAAAUUGAAUCAAAUGUUAGAGCUUUUUCCAUAACAUUCCAUUAAAAUUGUCAUAUAAAACAAAAACAUUUCAUAACUAUCACUACAGGAAGUCGGUCUUUAGGUAUGUUUUUUUCUUUUUUUUUUCAUGUUUAAUAGUGUUUAUAAACGUAGUUAAAAUAUUUGUGGCUAAGAGUAAUUUUUUUUUUUUUUAUGUUUUGCCAAAAGCAUUGUUAGAAAUUUUGGCUAUACUUGAA